Molecule: ribosomal RNA, 254 nt
Filed under: uncultured bacterium
Lineage: Bacteria
Description: partial 16S ribosomal RNA
Rfam family: Bacterial small subunit ribosomal RNA
Source: RNAcentral
UACGGAGGGUGCGAGCGUUGUCCGGAAUCACUGGGCGUAAAGGGCGCGUAGGCGGCUGGGGAAGUCGGUGGUGAAAGCUCGUGGCUCAACUACGAGUCGGCCAACGAUACUCCUCGGCUCGAGCACUGUAGAGGCAGGUGGAAUUCCGGGUGUAGCGGUGGAAUGCGUAGAGAUCCGGAAGAACAUCGGUGGCGAAGGCGGCCUGCUGGGCAGUAGCUGACGCUGAGGCGCGACAGCGUGGGGGAGCAAACAGG